This 2193-nucleotide ribosomal RNA is filed under the name Hyrtacus sp. n. B JAR-2018. Its description in RNAcentral is "partial 28S ribosomal RNA". It matches the Rfam family "Eukaryotic large subunit ribosomal RNA", at positions 107 to 1858 of the family's 3401-position model. The record is from RNAcentral. Lineage: Eukaryota; Metazoa; Arthropoda; Insecta; Phasmatodea; Lonchodidae.
GCCCAGCACCGAAUCCCGCAGGUGUUGCCUGUAGGGAAAUGUGGUGUUAGGGAGGACCCAUUUCUCCAUGUUUGUCGAGGCGUGUCCAAGUCCAUCUUGAAUGGGGCCAUACACCCAUAGAGGGUGCCAGGCCCGUGGUGACCGCUUCGUAUUCAUGGAGGGUCUCUCCUCAGAGUCGGGUUGCUUGAGAGUGCAGCCCUAAGUGGGUGGUAAACUCCAUCUAAGGCUAAAUAUGACCACGAGACCGAUAGCGAACAAGUACCGUGAGGGAAAGUUGAAAAGAACUUUGAAGAGAGAGUUCAAGAGUACGUGAAACCGUUCAGGGGUAAACGGGAGAAAUCCUGAAUUCGAAUGGGGUCUGGAUUCAACCAUCCUCUUGGUGGAAAGUCUGUCAUACCACCAGAUGGCGCUGGGCGCAUGGUGCGAUCAUGUCGCUGCGUGUUUGUUUCCAGCGGUCACUCGGAGGUUGUGAUAUGUAAUCUUUCAGAGGUUGGGUGCAUUUCCCCCCUAGUAGAAACGUCGCGACCCAUUGGGAACAGGUCUAAGGUCUGGGAUGGCAGCUCGUGUGUCCUGUGGCAUACUCACAGGCAUGUGAACUCCUUGUAACCCGGCCUGUUGCCCGAUGGUAUGAUCUGAGGAGUUGAUCCGCUGAAAAGGAAACACUGUGGUUGUGAAGCGUUCGGCCUGGGGCCAAUGCGUGUGGGUAAUGAGGUUAACUCGGGGGUGUCUGUGCGAAGCACGGUCCCGUACCUGCUGCGUAUUUGGUUCUGGUGUCCUCGGACUGGAUCUGUACUCCCGUCUGCGACGCCCAUCUUCGGAUGGUCUCCCGACCCGUCUUGAAACACGGACCAAGGAGUCUAACAUGUGCGCGAGUCAUUGGGUGACUCUAAACCUAAAGGCGUAAUGAAAGUGAAGGCUACAUCAGAGUGGGUGGCCGAGGGAAGAUGGUACUGGGAUUCCUGGUCCUUCGUGGUCCGGGGCCCGUCCCGCAUUCCCGGGGCGUCUCGUCCUCACUGCGAGGUGAGGCGCACCUAGAGCGUACAUGUUGGGACCCGAAAGAUGGUGAACUAUGCCUGGCCAGGACGAAGUCAGGGGAAACCCUGAUGGAGGUUCGAAGCGAUUCUGACGUGCAAAUCGAUCGUCGGAGCUGGGUAUAGGGGCGAAAGACUAAUCGAACCAUCUAGUAGCUGGUUCCCUCCGAAGUUUCCCUCAGGAUAGCUGGCACUCGGAGGAAAAAUGGAAAGAGUCUCAUACGGUAAAGCGAAUGAUUAGAGGCGUUGGGGCUGAAACGACCUCAACCUAUUCUCAAACUUUAAAUGGGUGAGAUCUCCGGCUUGCUUGGAAACCGAAGCCGGAGACGGAUCACGAGUGCCAAGUGGGCCACUUUUGGUAAGCAGAACUGGCGCUGUGGGAUGAACCAAACGCCGAGUUAAGGUGCCUAAAUUGACGCUCAUGGGAUACCAUGAAAGGCGUUGGUUGCUUAAGACAGCAGGACGGUGGCCAUGGAAGUCGGAAUCCGCUAAGGAGUGUGUAACAACUCACCUGCCGAAGCAACCAGCCCUGAAAAUGGAUGGCGUUAAAGCGUCGUACCUAUACUCGGCCGUCAGAGGCAUUGGGAGUGGUCGGUGGCUUUGUCACUGGCGCUCGAAGAAGCCCUGACGAGUAGGAGGGUCGCGGCGGUGUGCGCAGAAGGGCAGUGGCGUGAGCCUGCCUGGAGCCUCCGUCGGUGCAGAUCUUGGUGGUAGUAGCAAAUACUCAAGAGAGGGCCUUGAGGUCUGAUGUGGUGAAGGGUUUCGUGUGAACAGCCGUUGCACACGAGUCAGUCGAUCCUAAGCCCUAUGUGAAAGUUGAUGCCGAUGGGUGGUCUAAGUGGUAAUGGCCGAUACCCCCGGCGGGCGAAAGGGAAUCCGGUUCAUAUUCCGGAACCCGGCAGCGGAACCGUUCUUAAUCGGGCCCUCAUUGAGUGUUCGUCGGGGUAACCCGAAAGGACCCGGAGAAACCGUCGGGAGAUUUGGGAAGAGUUUUCUUUUCUGUAUGAGCGUUCGUGUUCCCUGGAAUCCUAUAGCAGGGAGAUAGGGAAUGGAACGCGAAGAGCACCGCAGUUACUGCGGUGUCCAAAUCCUCCCCUCGGACCAUGAAAAUCCGGGAGAGGGCCACGUGGAAAAUUCGCGCCGGUUCGUACCCAUAACCGCA